RNAcentral lists this ribosomal RNA (321 nucleotides) under uncultured bacterium. RNAcentral's name for it is "bacterial SSU rRNA". It matches the Rfam family "Bacterial small subunit ribosomal RNA", at positions 28 to 346 of the family's 1533-position model. The record is from RNAcentral.
GACGAACGCUGGCGGCGCGCCUAACACAUGCAAGUCGAACGAGCGAGAGGGAGCUUGCUUUCUCGAGCGAGUGGCGAACGGGUGAGUAACGCGUGAGGAACCUGCCUCAAAGAGGGGGACAACAGUUGGAAACGACUGCUAAUACCGCAUAAGCCCACGGCUCGGCAUCGAGCAGAGGGAAAAACUCCGGUGGUGUGAGAUGGACCCGNGUCUGAUUAGGUAGUUGGUGAGGUAACGGCCCACCAAGCCGACGAUCAGUAGCCGACCUGAGAGGGUGACCGGCCACAUUGGGACUGAGACACGGCCCAGACUCCUACGGGA